Molecule: non-coding RNA, 2141 nt
Organism: Chrysemys picta bellii (western painted turtle)
Lineage: Eukaryota; Metazoa; Chordata; Testudines; Emydidae
Source: RefSeq, a predicted model, not a curated record
CCCUCACACUGGAUAACAUUUUUGUAUCUUCCAUUUCAGCAUUUUUGUACAGGUUAUUGUGAGUCUGAGGAAUUAACUACCUAGCACAGACGAAAAUCCUGGGAGGCACUGAAAGGUUUCAGCACUUUUUCAGGAUAUUAAGGAAGAUAAAUAAAGCUAAGAAGACUGAAUAAGAGGAUUAAAAAAGUAAUACUGAAUUUCUGAUGACAGUUGAUUUGAAACAUCCAGUGUUUGGUGAGCAGAUGGUACCUGACCAUGUGACCUGCUCUUCAGCUCUACUUAAGCAGGAGCUGGUAACAGGGUUGGAGAUGUACAGUUAGAGAAGGACAUGUGUCCAGGUGUAGCGAGGCGGUGGGAUACCCCACAGCCCCGCUGAGGGCUGAACCUCCCCUAACACCAAUGUGGGCGGAGCCACUGGGUCCGGCGCCCACCCCUCAGAGGUCAUGGCGCCGACACGGAAGUAUAAAAGCCCACCUACAGAGCUUAGUGGAGAACAAGCUGCUGGAGAGAGCAGACGUCUGUGGACGAGCUCCUGCUUGGGAGACAGCAGCAGGCCGCAACCAGCCUGAGGACUCACCAGGCCAGCUGAGCCUACCCCUGACCCGUUACCCCGAGGAGGACUGGCUGACCUUCCCCUUUCCAGCUACCCUGAGGAGGAGCCGAGCCUGCCCUUUCCAGCUAUCCCGAGGAGGAGCCAAACCUACCCUUUGCUACCUACCCGGAGGAACCGAUGCUGGUGGAGACCACCGAGGGCACUAGUACGACCCAGGAGCUGAACGAACUUUGUAGAAAUGCUGCAGCGGGUUGUGAAUGAGGAUCUAUGAGAUGAGAAAAGCAUGCCCUUCUGCUCAGAGGACAGAGUGAAUGAGCAAAAGCAAGCAGUGCUGCGAUGUUGGGCUGUUCGUUCUCUGAUGAAUAUUCGGGUGCAGUCAUAGAAGGCUAGGAAGCCUGAUAUUAAAACAAAAUAUGUAUCAAUGUGUUUGUCUGUUGCAAAGCACUAAUCACUAGGAGAAUGAUUCAGUUAGGCAGUCAGGCCUUAUCCAAAAACCAAUGAAGUCUAUGAGAGUCUUCAGUGAACUUUCGAUCAAAAAUACCAUAGUCUAGAUUUUUAAAACCCAGCCUUCUUUUAUGUGCUUAUAAUAAUCAUUGGAUGCUAUUUCGCAACUGGAGUUAGUUGUAUGCUCUUUUGAUGUCAUUUAAAAGUCUAAUUGCAUAGUACACAGAUACAAUGAUUUAGUAUAUUUUGAACUUAUGUCAUGUUUUCUUAAAAUCCUACUUCCUCAAUUUUCUGGUUAAGGCAGGAGUUAGGUGAACCCUGGUCUAAUGCUGAAGCAGGACUCAGAGUAACAUCAAUUGAGUGGAUUGGCAGGGUCCCAGCCUCAGCUCCCAUUUUGUCUGAGUGAAAGAGGGAUGUUCCUGCUUCUAUAAUGUGACUGUCUUUAAGCCUGUAGGAUGGGGGAAAUGGGAGAAGACACAGAAUUCAAGGGAUAAAUGGUGAAAAUAAACUGGGGUUUCUGGAGGCCUGUGAGCCACCAGGAGGGUGAAGAGGAUAGCCAUUGAUGGCUAACUUGCCUGCUUCCAGGUGAAUCUACAGAGACAGUGAUGGAAUAGGUGAAAUGGAUUUUCAAUCCUUGAAUUCCCACUCCUUAUGCCCAUUUAACUGUCCACUGAAUAGCUAGUUCUCCUAUCUCUUACAGGGGCACCUUCAUGACAUGGGCAUUUUUUCUCCACUGUGAAUGUUUCCAGCCAAAGGUACAAUAGCAAGCCAGGAAGCAAUAGGGCCGGGGUGUGUUGAAGAGUCCCAUGUAAAGGUAAGCACUCUGAUGGAAAGCAAAUCCCUUGCUUUGCUAUUAAAGUAUCUUCCUGCUACAUAAAUUAUUAUUGACUCUGCUAAAUAAUAAAUAAAGUCACAUUACCAAAUCAGCCUCUCCUGAUGCAAUAAUGAAAACAUCUUACUGAUCUCCUUUCUCAUCCAUGACUCAUUUUCAAUGAGAAAUGGAAGUGGCAAAAGCCAUCUCUUGCAGACUCUGACUCAGAAGCCUCUUUUUUUUUAUUUAACUUGUUAUGUAUUAAAAUGUUCUGGAUACAGGUUGACUUGCUUUGUUCAAUAUUUAUUAUUGUUUCACCUGCCUUGAAAUGGG